Molecule: ribosomal RNA, 254 nt
Filed under: uncultured bacterium
Lineage: Bacteria
Description: partial 16S ribosomal RNA
Rfam family: Bacterial small subunit ribosomal RNA
Source: RNAcentral
UACGUAGGGCGCAAGCGUUAUCCGGAAUUAUUGGGCGUAAAGAGCUCGUAGGCGGUUUGUCGCGUCUGCCGUGAAAGUCCGGGGCUCAACUCCGGAUCUGCGGUGGGUACGGGCAGACUAGAGUGAUGUAGGGGGAGACUGGAAUUCCUGGUGUAGCGGUGAAAUGCGCAGAUAUCAGGAGGAACACCGGUGGCGAAGGCGGGUCUCUGGGUAGUAACUGACGCUGAGGAACGAAAGCGUGGGUAGCGAACAGG